UCGGGAAUUUUGGGCAAUGGGCGAAAGCCUGACCCAGCAACGCCGCGUGAGGGAUGAAGUAUUUCGGUAUGUAAACCUCGAAAGAAUGGGCAGAAUAAAUGACGGUACCAUUUAUAAGCUCCGGCUAACUACGUGCCAGCAGCCGCGGUAAUACGUAGGGAGCAAGCGUUGUUCGGAUUUACUGGGCGUAAAGGGCGCGUAGGCGGCGCGGUAAGUCACUUGUGAAAUCUCUGAGAUUAACUCAGAACGGCCAAGUGAUACUGCUGUGCUAGAGUGCGGAAGAGGCCACCGGAAUUCUUGGUGUAGCGGUGAAAUGCGUAGAUAUCAAGAGGAACACCUGAGGCGAAGGAGGGUAGCUGGGCCGACACUGACGCUGAUGCGCGAAAGCCAGGGGAGCAAAC
This 401-nucleotide ribosomal RNA is filed under the name uncultured bacterium. RNAcentral's name for it is "bacterial SSU rRNA". It matches the Rfam family "Bacterial small subunit ribosomal RNA", at positions 355 to 773 of the family's 1533-position model. The record is from RNAcentral.